GGGUGUUUAGUUUAUAUAAAAACAGUUGUUUUGAAAACAUCUAAAAAGACAAAUUAAUCUUAACACCCU
RNAcentral lists this transfer RNA (69 nucleotides) under Pentacheles validus. RNAcentral's name for it is "tRNA-Ser". The record is from RNAcentral. Lineage: Eukaryota; Metazoa; Arthropoda; Malacostraca; Decapoda; Polychelidae.